Melitaea cinxia (Glanville fritillary) is the source of this 429-nucleotide long non-coding RNA. RefSeq lists it as uncharacterized. The record is from RefSeq and is a predicted model, not a curated record. The transcript is spliced from 2 exons. Lineage: Eukaryota; Metazoa; Arthropoda; Insecta; Lepidoptera; Nymphalidae.
AGCACGGUGCGCGUGUGCUGCAGCAGCGCCGCCUGCGCCGCCGACUCCGUGGUGUGCGAGGCCGCGCCCGCCGCGCCGCUCACCAGCGGGCUGGCGUACGACACCUGCCGGGCAACGAGCUCGUUACUAAGUUAUUUAUGUCUACGUGUCUAGGUACCGAGACGCGUAUGUUCAUCAAUCAAACUCACGAGGUUAGUGACGGCGUGUCCCAGGUUCUCGGCCUCGCUGCGCGCCGCCACCCUCAGCGGCUCCACACGCUCCAGCAUUUCUGCCGCCGUGUUUUCAAUCUGCUCCGAAUAACCUGGCAAACAGAAUAUACCGUUAACUUUGCAAAGUAUUCGCAGCGACCAUGUGAUAUAUCCGGCUCGGAAGGACCAACUUAUAGAAUUAACCUUUUUGUCUAAUAUAAGAGGCUUCUGCCAAACAUUG